RNAcentral lists this long non-coding RNA (2402 nucleotides) under Trifolium pratense (red clover). RNAcentral describes it as "long non-coding RNA (TPRA_LNC012244)". Lineage: Eukaryota; Viridiplantae; Streptophyta; Magnoliopsida; Fabales; Fabaceae. The record is from RNAcentral.
CAGCUGGACUCAAUGGUUGAUCAACAUCUCUUGAAGAUGCCAAUGCCAUGUUAAUUUACUUAGAUAACCCUCAAGACACAACUGUUUGGCUAGGGACACCCCGCCAACAUAUAUAUGUGCCUGAUCAAUUAAUGUUAUCAAACUAACAAAAAUUAAUGAACUUUUUCUAGAUAUUAUAUAAUAUUGCAUAUAGGUAUUAUAAAAAAAAUAUAUUAUAAAAUCAAUCGUUAGUUGAUCCAGUAGUGACUAAUACUGGAUUUGAUAGAGACAAUGGUUUGAUUCUCACAAAUGCGAUAAAAACGGGGCCGGAACUAGUUGAUCCCAGAACUGAUCACCGAAUCAGAUUAAAUGGUCCAAUGAACCGAAUACUAGUAAUGAAAAAAAAAUAUUAAAAAAAUAAUAUUGAAUAUGUCAUUUAAAACGUCGGUAGGUGGGCGGGUGGGGAAUUAGGCAGUAGAUAAAUUAAGGAACUGUCCAUACAUGUGGGAUGGGUGGAUAACAUAUAUGAUUUUUUGUAUCAUGUGCAAAUUUGCAAGUAAGUUUGUAUUAGAACUUGUGAUUUUAUAUUAAAUAUAUAAUUUUUUAAUAAAUAAUUGUUGUUUUUCAUUAAAUAGUUACCAUUUUUAGUUACUUUAACAGUUUAAUAUGUUCAAUAUUGCACAUGUUAAAUAAACUCGAUAUAUAUUAUAACGGCCAACAAUCAAUGUGAGCUUCAAAUGCACCAAUUUAUCUUCUUCUUUUCCCUUAAAAAAUACGGGUCAUGUUAACGCACAUACUUUAACAUAUAAAUAAAUUUUAAUCUAAACAAUGUUUCUCAAUAAAGGAGGAAUGUAAUCAAAUAGACAUGAGACAGGGACUAUAGCAUAAAAUUGUGAUGGAGAAUAAGCAACUUGUUCUAUCUUACUUGAAAAUUUAUUUAUUUUUGUAAAUAAAUUAAUUAAAUUUUAUCUAUGAAAAUAUAACAAAGUUAAACUUUUUAGAGAAAAUUUUACAACUCCAGUGGUCCAAAUCUUACUUGAAUAACUAACUUGUCCUUUUUUUUAUAGUAACUAACUAGUCCCUUUUUUAUGAUGAUAAUAACUAACUUGUCUCUACAUUUGGCGGAGAUAUAUAGAAAAAUAAAAUUUAUAUGAACCAUACUUGUACAUAUUAUUAAGAGUGGUGCUAUUUUAUUAUGAAAAAAAGAAAGAGUGGUGCUAGCUUUUUAAAUAUUUAAUUUUUUUUUGUCAAGUAGCCUAAUUGCUAGAAAAUCUAUCCUAGUGAAUAAGUGGAGUACCUCGGGUUCAAACUCGGUUCCUGCACAUAUAGUCUGAUGUUCCUACGAACUAAACUAAGCUCACGGGGACUUAAAUAUUCAAAAUUUAACACCUUAUGAAAAUACACAACUUAUAAUUGUUGAUAUAUAUACAUGAGUUAGGAUCAAAUGAAAGAGGGUGUCAAACUUAGAAUUAUGUCUUUAAAAUAUGACAUUACAUCAAUCUUACGUAGUGGAUAAUCGUCUUAUAAAAUUGACCGUUAGAUUGAAAUAUAUUAUAACAUAGAAUUAUGUCUAUAAAAUACUGUAUGUCAUUACAUUAAUCAAAAAUCAUUUGAUAUGUCAAUGAGAUACAUCAAAAUUAACUCACUUUUUGAAUAUUCGUAAGAUGUUAAUUUUGAUGUAUCUCAUUGACGUAUCAAAUGAUUUCCAAUUAAUGUUAUAUUUUUUAUAUAUGAUCUAUAUUAUAAUAUCUUUCAAUUUAACGGUCAAUUUUGUAAUACGAUUAUCGGAUAAAGAAUUAUCGAAAAUGUCAUAUAAAAAGUUUGACAUUUUAAUAUCAUUUAUAUAGACCUAUGCCAACUCAUUUGAGAUUAUGGGUUCAAAAUGUGAAAUCCAAUAUACGAACCAAGUACACCUUUGAAUUUAAACAGUUUGGUAUAGAUUGAACAAUUGAUGUAUUGAGCAUAGAUAGACAAGAUAUAUCAAUUUUUCAAUGAAUCUAAAAAAUAAGUUUGGAUAACCGCGAUCAAAUUUGUACCCGUAAACACACCUUAACUCCAUAGGCAUGACACACACACAUAUGUUAGGAAUUUAAUCAGUUUUUAAAAUCAAAUAUUUUGUGCGAACUACAAAGACUAAUUCCUUAAGAAAUUUAACUUCUAGUUAAAUUGGACUAUAUAUCUUACCAUCUUAUGUUUUGUUAAAUACUUUGGAGUUUGGAGAUUGUUGAAAAGUAAAAAUUGUAAGGGAGAAAGUUGAAGGAAGGAACCUGAAAAACUGAUCUGGGCCAAGAACGAAGCUUGUGUCUGGAUGAAGGACAAGAAGAUAUAAAGAUGAAACAAACUUUGUCCUUGAAACUUGAUAUAUAGAUUGAUCUCUGUUCUGUUCUGUUCUUGUAAUAACUCUUGUGUUGUGUUGUGUUGUG